AUUGAACGCCGGCGGCAUGCUUUACACAUGCAAGUCGAACGGCAGCGCGGGCUUCGGCCUGGCGGCGAGUGGCGAACGGGUGAGUAAUACAUCGGAACGUGCCCAGUAGUGGGGGAUAGCUCGGCGAAAGCCGGAUUAAUACCGCAUACGACCUGAGGGUGAAAGCGGGGGAUCUUCGGACCUCGCGCUAUUGGAGCGGCCGAUGGCAGAUUAGCUAGUUGGUGGGGUAAAGGCCUACCAAGGCGACGAUCUGUAGCUGGUCUGAGAGGACGACCAGCCACACUGGGACUGAGACACGGCCCAGACUCCUACGGGAGGCAGCAGUGGGGAAUUUUGGACAAUGGGCGAAAGCCUGAUCCAGCAAUGCCGCGUGUGUGAUGAAGGCCUUCGGGUUGUAAAGCACUUUUGGCGGGAACGAAAAGGACUGUGCCGAUACCACGGUUCGAUGACGGUACCCGCAGAAUAAGCACCGGCUAACUACGUG
This 484-nucleotide ribosomal RNA is filed under the name uncultured bacterium. Its description in RNAcentral is "partial 16S ribosomal RNA". It matches the Rfam family "Bacterial small subunit ribosomal RNA", at positions 29 to 507 of the family's 1533-position model. The record is from RNAcentral.